UGAGGAAUAUUGGGCAAUGCCCGCAAGGGUGACCCAGCAACGCCGCGUGGAGGAUGAAUGUCGUAAGAUUGUAAACUCCUGUUAGAGGGGAAGAAUAGUACCGGUUGGACCGGUAUAUGACUGUACCCUCAGAGAAAGCCCCGGCUAACUACGUGCCAGCAGCCGCGGUAAUACGUAGGGGGCAAGCGUUGUCCGGAUUUACUGGGUGUAAAGGGCGCGUAGGCGGCGCGGUAAGUCACUUGUGAAAUCUCUGAGCUUAACUCAGAACGGCCAAGUGAUACUGCUGUGCUAGAGUGCGGAAGAGGCAACCGGAAUUCUGGGUGUGGCGGUGAAAUGCGUAGAUAUCAAGAGGAACACCUGAGGCGAAGGCGGGUUGCUGGGCCGACACUGACGCUGAUGCGCGAAAGCCAGGGGAGCAAACG
RNAcentral lists this ribosomal RNA (422 nucleotides) under uncultured bacterium. RNAcentral describes it as "bacterial SSU rRNA". It matches the Rfam family "Bacterial small subunit ribosomal RNA", at positions 355 to 774 of the family's 1533-position model. The record is from RNAcentral.